UUUUUCUUAUAUUCCUCUAAUUAUUUUCUCUAAUUGUAGAUAAUGAGCAUUUUAUUAAUAUCUUGUUCUUGAUCUUAGUGGGAGGUAUGUAGUUUUUCCCUGUUAAGUAAAAUCCUGACUUUUGGACCAAGAAGACUGAGGCAUAAAUGUGUGUGUGGUGUGUGUGUGUGUGUGUGUUUACACGCAAACUGUAUAUAUGUGCUUGUGUGUAAUUGAAAUACAUAUGUCACAUAUAUAUCAUGCGUACUGUUGCAUAUUAGGGUAUAAUAUUUGUAUUUGUGUAUAAUUGAAGUUAAUGAAUGUUAAUGAAUGUGAAUGAAUGUUAAUGAAUGUUAAUGUAGUCCCAGCUGCUCACUCGGGAGGCUGGGCAGGAGGAUGGCUUGAACCCACGAGUUUGACACUGCAAUGAGGUAUGACUGAGCCAUUGCACUCCAGCCUGGGCAAUAGAGGGAGACCCUGUCUCAAAAACCAAAACAAAAAAAAGAUUCUUUUAAUUUUUUUGUGCUCGUAAUGUGGAUAGCUUGACUAGGAAAGAAAACAAGUCCGCUUUGUCUUUAUUAGGAAGUAAAUGUGAAUUUGUUUGUUUUAGUUGCAAAGCCUCAUUCCUUUUGUUCAGCUGCCCCCUAGUGACUCCGUGUGUGAAGAGUAUGGUCUGAGCUGUUCGGAUGCUCUGCAUAAUCUUUUUUAGUCUCCAGACUUGUGAACGAGGUCUACCACAUGUAUAAUCGACAUCAGUAUCCAUUUGUUGUUCUUAACAUUUCUGUUGAUUCAGGUAAGUU
Long non-coding RNA from Cercocebus atys (sooty mangabey), 779 nucleotides. RefSeq lists it as uncharacterized. Lineage: Eukaryota; Metazoa; Chordata; Mammalia; Primates; Cercopithecidae. The record is from RefSeq and is a predicted model, not a curated record. The transcript is spliced from 2 exons.